UCCAGCUGAACAGUGACAGCCGCAUGAUAUUUUACGUGACCUUUAUCUACUUUCACUGAAUCUCACUCCAAUUAAGUGAAGACAGAACCGAUGCUGUCGAUGUCCCUUUGCAGGGAGGCAGGGUGACAGUUCAUUCAUGCACGCACAGCAAUGUUACGGGCGGAAACAGACUAUGAAGCGGCUCUUUAUCAUGGACGUGAGGCUGCAACCCGGAGUGUGCCUGUGCAUUUCCCUGACACUCGUCCAUUAAACGGCUAUGAUAUAGGGUUUGAGGGACCGUCCAUCCCCGGCAGCCACACAGACGGUGGUGAAGCAUCAUCAAUGCCUGAACCCUGAUCUGCGCCUCUGUUUAUUCCCGGAGUGCCUGAUGAGGAAGGAGAAGCAGUGCUUUGUAAUGGUGUGCAGCUCUACGAUCCGGUACCGAUGCGGGGACGGCGUGCUACAUCCGGGCUGCUGAUGAGCGGAGCCGAUCGGAGCACCUGGCCAAAACAUUUUGCCAUGGACACAGAUGAGUCUUAUCAUGGACACGUUUGUCCAUGCAUGAACUGGUUGAUGAUCCCUGGACCUAGGAAAAGUCCAGUAAAGUACCAAUGUAUGUCAAGAAAAUGCUGGAAAAUGCUAAAGCUGGAAAAUGAAGAAACAGGAUUGGAAGAGUACUGACAUCUUUAAAUCUUGGUGUUAGUGAAGACACUUAAACACACCAUGGAGACACAUGCAUCAAAUGCUCAGAUGAGAAAGGUACACUUUUGCAUUGCAUGUGGAACUGCCCAAAAGUGCAGGAGUUUUGGAAGGAGGUGGCUAUAUUUAUUUCUCAAAUGGUGUUUGUAAACCUACCGAUGAAACCUGAAAUUUUUAUUUUGGGAAUUAUUCCUGAGAAUAUUGUCGACCAUGGUAUUAGUAUACUUCAAGCAAAGCGUCUAAUAUCCUUGUACCAAUACAAGUUGGAAAAUAACUAAUAUCCAGUACAAGGAUAUUAGACGCUUUGCUUGAAGUAUACUAAUAUCAACAAGCUUACGAGUGCUUCCAUGGUCGACAAUAUUCUCAGGAAUAAUUCCCAAAAUAAAAAUUUCAGGUUUCAUCGGUAGAAAGCGGAAAAGCCAUCUAUCGUACAAUGGAUCAAUAACAUGUCCUUCUGUUUAGCUAUGGAAAAGAUUACUUAUAUAUUGAAAGGUAAAAUUUCUUCUUUUGAGAAAAUUUGGACACCCUUUAUAUCCUUUAUAUCAAAUUCGAAUUUUGGGAAUGUACUAAGUGAGACAGGAGGAGAUAAGAUAACUUAACACUUGACUUAUCGUAUCCCCUUUUUCAUAAUUCAUAAUUCUAUUUAAGGAAAACAUUGUUAAAUAACGAUUUGUUGUAUACCUUCUAUGCAUGUUUUGUAUUUACUGUACAACUCCACCUUCCUACUGUAUUGCUCUCUGGAAUAACCUGUGUGGCUAUUUAAAUUA
Molecule: non-coding RNA, 1445 nt
Organism: Paramormyrops kingsleyae
Lineage: Eukaryota; Metazoa; Chordata; Actinopteri; Osteoglossiformes; Mormyridae
Source: RefSeq, a predicted model, not a curated record